ACUGGUCAGUAAAAUUUUAGUCACUCCAAGAAGUGCAUGUUUUUCUCAUUUUCCUACCUGUGUCCCUACCAGUGUUGAGUCAGGGUUGCAAAGCAAUACACUGCGAUGCAAAACAAAUAAACUGCAGAAUCCUCAACAGUCUUGGUCUUUGAUAUACCAAGACCUGGUGCAUUUUGGUUUUGAAAAUCAAUGCUGGCAUGGACUGCAAUGCUGACGUACUUUAUGAAGAGUGCUUAUGUAAAGAGGAAUUUUGACCUGGGUUGAAAAAUGACCCGGACGGGGGGUGGGGUCAUUUUUCAACGUUGAAUACAGUUCGGUGUGGGAUUUAGACCCUAGUAAGAUGAAAAUUGGUUAACCCCUCGUAUGGCAUAUAGAAUAUUGCUGCGUUAACAUCAAACGAAUACAUAUGAAAUAAAACCAAUCUAUGAUUAUAUAUUGUAUCUAAAAGCCCUUGAUUUUCUAUACUUUGUUUGACAGUCAUGCAUUGCACCAAGUUCAUGGUUUCAAUGCGCGUUUGAAUCUACUGAAAAUCAUUGAUGAAUUGAAAUAAUCAAAUAGAAUAAUCAAAACAAAAAGAACAGAUUCAUAAAUUUGAAGGAAUACAUAUUUCAUCACAUCGCCCUUCAGCAAUAAACUCGCAUUAAACUGAUCCGACUUUUUGAAAGGCAUAACUGAUAGUCACCCCGCAUUGGGAACGCAGUGUACCUGAGAUACAUUUAUGUACAUGUGAAAUUUCGCGUUGGAUUCGUGGGAAUGCGGUUGCUAUGUUGGACAGGUCGAACACACAUGUAUCAAGUCCUAAGUCAUAAAAUUGAAGAACUUAUAUAUAUAUAUAUAUAUGGUAUAUGGUAGGACCGUUUUACAAAACGAAUCGUAAUCUACGGAAUCCCAUUAGUGUAAACCAAAACUAAAUUCAAAAACGAAAUUAUUAAAUAAAAAACCGAAAUUGAUAUACAAAACAACCAAACCUAAAUAAAAAACGAAAUUAUUAAAUAAAAAUACGAAAUUAAUAAAUAAAAAACGAAAUUGAUAAAAAAAAA
Molecule: long non-coding RNA, 1040 nt
Organism: Ostrea edulis (European flat oyster)
Lineage: Eukaryota; Metazoa; Mollusca; Bivalvia; Ostreida; Ostreidae
Exons: 2
Source: RefSeq, a predicted model, not a curated record